This 254-nucleotide ribosomal RNA is filed under the name uncultured bacterium. RNAcentral's name for it is "partial 16S ribosomal RNA". It matches the Rfam family "Bacterial small subunit ribosomal RNA", at positions 524 to 776 of the family's 1533-position model. The record is from RNAcentral.
UACGUAGGGUGCGAGCGUUGUCCGGAAUUAUUGGGCGUAAAGAGCUCGUAGGCGGUCUGUUACGUCGAUCGUGAAAACUUGGGGCUUAACCCUGAGCUUGCGGUCGAUACGGGCAUGACUGGAGUUCGGCAGGGGAGACUGGAAUUCCUGGUGUAGCGGUGAAAUGCGCAGAUAUCAGGAGGAACACCGGUGGCGAAGGCGGGUCUCUGGGCCGAUACUGACGCUGAGGAGCGAAAGCGUGGGGAGCGAACAGG